Molecule: transfer RNA, 67 nt
Filed under: Liolaemus millcayac
Lineage: Eukaryota; Metazoa; Chordata; Lepidosauria; Squamata
Description: tRNA-Arg
Source: RNAcentral
UAGGUGUUAGUCUAAUAAAAGAUAACUAAUUUCGACUUAGUAGAACCGAAAAAUUUCGGGCACCUAU